GUGGGGAAUAUUGGACAAUGGGCGCAAGCCUGAUCCAGCCAUGCCGCGUGAGUGAUGAAGGCCUUAGGGUUGUAAAGCUCUUUCACCGAUGAAGAUAAUGACGGUAGUCGGAGAAGAAGCCCCGGCUAACUUCGUGCCAGCAGCCGCGGUAAUACGAAGGGGGCUAGCGUUGUUCGGAUUUACUGGGCGUAAAGCGCACGUAGGCGGUUUGUUAAGUCAGGGGUGAAAUCCCGGAGCUCAACUCCGGAACUGCCUUUGAUACUGGCAAGCUAGAGUCCGGAAGAGGUAAGUGGAACUCCUAGUGUAGAGGUGGAAUUCGUAGAUAUUAGGAAGAACACCAGUGGCGAAGGCGGCUUACUGGUCCGGAACUGACGCUGAGGUGCGAAAGCGUGGGGAUCGAACAGGAUUAGAAACCCCGGUAGUCC
This 425-nucleotide ribosomal RNA is filed under the name uncultured bacterium. RNAcentral's name for it is "partial 16S ribosomal RNA". It matches the Rfam family "Bacterial small subunit ribosomal RNA", at positions 354 to 796 of the family's 1533-position model. The record is from RNAcentral.